GCAUCAUUGUAUUUCUUUGUGAUAGAAUAGAAAAUUCAGAUUCUUUCUAUAAUAGUUUUUAUCUUACUGUAUGGUAACUGUUGAGUCAUGGCUGGAACCACUGAUUGAUCACCUGGGGAAAGGACGAGUCAGCCCUGGGAGCACAGGUGAAGGCAAUUCAACUGUGUGACCAGAAGGGCUGGAGCCCGGCUGCUUCUCCCUAGGCCUCCAUUUAAGAGCUGACUGCCACGGGGGAAGGAUCUCUGGUUGGAGGUUCCUUCCUUGUGGAGUUUUCCCUGAGAGCCUAAAUCUGUGGAAAUAGGUGGCCUUCUUUGGGAAUUUCCAGUGAGCCCUGAUCCUCAGAAAAGGUGCUGUGUAUAGAGAUGCCUGUCUUGAAGCAGUCAAUUUCUUCCUGCUUCUCCAGAUGGAACCUUACUGAAUUUGAGACAUUCAUCUUUCCAGUAGCAGGUCAAUGUGAAGUAUUCAUACAUUAUUACAGGACAGCUGCAAAUCCAUCACAACAAGAGACAAUGUGUGUCAUACAAAGAGAAUAAUGGAAAAACUGCAUGAUGUUUCCAAGGUCACAGUGUAAGCUUGCUGCAGAGCAGGGAGUAGAAACUGGGUAUGUUCUGGCCACGUUUCUUAUCAAACAUACUUUCAGAAACUUAGACAAUAAGCAGUCAGACCAAAACCUCAACCAAGCCAAGAGAAUCUUAAACCAACUUUUUAUUUUCUCGUGUUCUCUAUUAGCAGAUGUGCAAUGUAAUAAACAAUUGGAUUUGUAGCUUCUAUUUUGCUUGGGAAUUAUUUUAAACCUAUAUUUAGUUAAUAAGAUUUCUUAACAACUAUUUGGAGUGAUACAGAACAGGAAGAAAAAAAUGGGCUGAAGAAAAAAAAAUCCACAAUAAUAAUAUUGAGUGAUGAAAUUUAAGAAAGAAGAGGAAAGUAAUAAGUGAACUAUGUAAUGUGAAUUUUAGAGUGAGUGCGUAUUUCUGAUUGUUAAAACUGAAUUAAUCUGUUCAUCAUAAAACUGAAAGCAACUGUAAGAUCAAAUCUUUAGGACGGAUGACAGGGUUUCAUUAUCAUUAAUGGAGUGCAAAAUCCUGCUGGGCAAGUGGCACAUGACUUUUGCUACUGACUUCACUGGGAUAAGGCAUGUUUGUUAUCUAGUGAAUUUAGUAAAGAUUUGAACUGAAUUGAACUAUGCCAAAUAGAAAAUGUUGUAUCUCAGAUUAUAAUUUGAGUCUGGUAUUGUCUAAAAUUUUGCUUUCUAGUCUGUCAGUACAACACAAGUUUUGGUGCUCUAAUGUUACUGUACAUGCUCUUCAUUUUCUCUACUUUGUAUGCUACUUAAUUCACCUCUCCUCUUUUUUCUGUUAAUGAUGUCUUUUUUGCCCAAGGAAUCUGACAAUCUGUUUAGGUGCAAAAGAGGAAUACAACUGUGACUUUAUUCUGGUAGUUCUACUCCAGUUGAAAUUAUUCAUGUAUCAUCUUAUUUUGUGGAAAACCACCAGCAGAGCUCUUCAAAAAUAAACCUAUCUGCAGGAAGCAGUGCUCAGUAUUUUUGCAUUGUUUUUCUCUUCCUAGACCUUUCUCCUAUAGUUCUUAAAAAAAAAAAAUAAAUACUAAUAAUACUCAUGUUACUUAAACAGUGGAAGAGGCUUGGUUUUACAAAUCAACUGUAUGAAAUACAAAAUUAGUAAUCUGAAUGGAAGCAUGGAGUGCCAUCGUAAUAAUCCUUUUGUGUAACACUGAGAAGCUUGAUUUCUCUCUGUUGCAUAUAGCGUAGUAAAAUGGCCAGAAAAUCUGUAGUACAGAUAAGGCAAAUUGUGAUAAAUGCAGGCUGUUUCGCUGGCACAGUGGUGUAUAGUUUAUUCAUUUUUCUUUGCACAAAAGGAAAAUAAAAAGUGCAGCUUGAAAGUAGGUAGCAGAAAAAUGUAGCAUUCUCAGGAGAAGUUUUCUGAAUUGCCAUUUCAGAGUUGUAUAUCAAAAGGUAGAGUUAUUUAAAUGGAAGAUGCAUUUAUAGAGAAGUCCGUCAGAGCUGGCCUUUGAGGAAUAGCUGCUUGUGAGUUUUCAGGAGAGCACAGGAAGGCAGAUUAUUGUCAUAGACCUUAAAUGUA
Molecule: long non-coding RNA, 2099 nt
Organism: Lagopus muta (rock ptarmigan)
Lineage: Eukaryota; Metazoa; Chordata; Aves; Galliformes; Phasianidae
Exons: 3
Source: RefSeq, a predicted model, not a curated record